Molecule: ribosomal RNA, 489 nt
Filed under: uncultured bacterium
Lineage: Bacteria
Description: bacterial SSU rRNA
Rfam family: Bacterial small subunit ribosomal RNA
Source: RNAcentral
GAUGAACGCUAGCGAUAGGCCUAACACAUGCAAGUCGAGGGGCAUCACAUGAAGUAGCAAUACGGAUGGUGGCGACCGGCGCACGGGUGAGUAACACGUAUGCAACCUGCCUUCAACAAGGGGAUAACCCGUUGAAAGACGGACUAAUACCCUAUAACACAGGGGUCCCGCAUGGGAAUAUUUGUUAAAGGACAACCGGUUGAAGAUGGGCAUGCGUUCCAUUAGCUAGUUGGCGGGGUAACGGCCCACCAAGGCAACGAUGGAUAGGGGAACUGAGAGGUUUAUCCCCCAACUGGUACUGAGACACGGACCAGACUCCUACGGGAGGCAGCAGUGAGGAAUAUUGGUCAAUGGACGCAAGUCUGAACCAGCCACGUCGCGUGAAGGAAGACGGCCCUACGGGUUGUAAACUUCUUUUAUACGGGAAUAAAGUGCCCCACGCGUGGGGUUUUGCAUGUACCGUAUGAAUAAGGAUCGGCUAACUCCGUG